RNAcentral lists this ribosomal RNA (398 nucleotides) under uncultured bacterium. RNAcentral's name for it is "partial 16S ribosomal RNA". It matches the Rfam family "Bacterial small subunit ribosomal RNA", at positions 523 to 918 of the family's 1533-position model. The record is from RNAcentral.
AUACGUAGGGUGCGAGCGUUGUCCGGAAUUACUGGGCGUAAAGAGCUCGUAGGUGGUUUGUCGCGUCGUCUGUGAAAUUCCGGGGCUUAACUCCGGGCGUGCAGGCGAUACGGGCAUAACUUGAGUACUGUAGGGGAGACUGGAAUUCCUGGUGUAGCGGUGAAAUGCGCAGAUAUCAGGAGGAACACCGGUGGCGAAGGCGGGUCUCUGGGCAGUAACUGACGCUGAGGAGCGAAAGCAUGAGUAGCGAACAGGAUUAGAUACCCUGGUAGUCCAUGCCGUAAACGGUGGGCGCUAGGUGUAGGGGUCUUCCACGACUUCUGUGCCGUAGCUAACGCAUUAAGCGCCCCGCCUGGGGAGUACGGCCGCAAGGCUAAAACUCAAAUGAAUUGACGGGG